Molecule: RNase P RNA, 389 nt
Filed under: Glaciecola punicea
Lineage: Bacteria; Pseudomonadati; Pseudomonadota; Gammaproteobacteria; Alteromonadales; Alteromonadaceae
Also listed under: 1 other name
Description: RNase P RNA component class A
Rfam family: Bacterial RNase P class A
About the family: Ribonuclease P (RNase P) is a ubiquitous endoribonuclease, found in archaea, bacteria and eukarya as well as chloroplasts and mitochondria. Its best characterised activity is the generation of mature 5'-ends of tRNAs by cleaving the 5'-leader elements of precursor-tRNAs. Cellular RNase Ps are ribonucleoproteins.
Source: RNAcentral
AGAGUUGGCCAGACAAUCGCUGCGAGUAGCCGGUAAUGAAAAUUAUUGACUAUUAGGGGAGGAAAGUCCGGGCUCCACAGGGCAGGGUGCCAGAUAACGUCUGGGCGGCGCGAGCCGACGACAAGUGCAGCAGAGAGAAGACCGCCUGCACCGCGUAAGUGGCUCAGGUAAGGGUGAAAGGGUGCGGUAAGAGCGCACCGCAUUGCUGGCAACAGUAUAUGGCGAGGUAAACUCCACUCGGAGCAAGACCAAAUAGGUUCCCUUAUGGCGCGGCCCGCGUUGGGAACGGGUAGGUUGCUUGAGCUAUUAAGCGAUUAAUAGCCUAGACGAAUGAUUGUCAUUCUUUGAAAGAAGUCUACAGAACCCGGCUUAUGCGGCCAACUCUACUU